AGCCUGAACGCUGGCGGCGUGGCUAAGACAUGCAAGUCGAACGACAUAGUGGCGAACGGGUGAGUAAUGUAUCGCUAAUCUGCCCUGAGCUCGAGGAUAGCGGAGGGAAACUUCCGGUAAUACUCGAUAGUCCUCAAGCACUGCAUGGUGUUUGAUGCAAAGCUUUAUGCGGCCGGAUGAGGCGAUAUGGUAUCAGCUAGUGGUAGGUAACGCCUACAAGGCUUCGACGCCUAGCCGGACUGAGAGGUCGGCCGGCCACAUCGGGACUGAGACACUCGGCCCGGACUCCGUACGGGAGCUGCAGUAACGAAUCUCCGCAAUGACACGAAGUGUGACGGAGCGACGCCGCGUGCAGGACGAACGCCCGUUACGGGUA
This 376-nucleotide ribosomal RNA is filed under the name uncultured soil bacterium. RNAcentral's name for it is "bacterial SSU rRNA". It matches the Rfam family "Bacterial small subunit ribosomal RNA", at positions 26 to 424 of the family's 1533-position model. The record is from RNAcentral.